CCUACGGGAGGCAGCAGUGAGGAAUAUUGGACAAUGGAGGCAACUCUGAUCCAGCCAUGCCGCGUGCAGGAAGACGGCCCUAUGGGUUGUAAACUGCUAUUAUACAGGAAGAAUGGUACCUACGUGUAGGUAUUUGACGGUACUGUACGAAUAAGGAUCGGCUAACUCCGUGCCAGCAGCCGCGGUAAUACGGAGGAUCCAAGCGUUAUCCGGAAUCAUUGGGUUUAAAGGGUCCGUAGGCGGUCUGAUAAGUCAGAGGUGAAAUCCUGCAGCUCAACUGUAGCAUUGCCUUUGAUACUGUUAGACUUGAGUUAUUGUGAAGUAGUUAGAAUGUGUGGUGUAGCGGUGAAAAGCAUAGAUAUCACACAGAAUACCGAUUGCGAAGGCAGAUUACUAACAAUACACUGACGCUGAGGGACGAAAGCGUGGGUAGCGAACAGGAUUAGAUACCCUGGUAG
Molecule: ribosomal RNA, 458 nt
Filed under: uncultured Flavobacteriia bacterium
Lineage: Bacteria; Pseudomonadati; Bacteroidota; Flavobacteriia
Description: bacterial SSU rRNA
Rfam family: Bacterial small subunit ribosomal RNA
Source: RNAcentral